Molecule: long non-coding RNA, 2648 nt
Organism: Octopus bimaculoides (California two-spot octopus)
Lineage: Eukaryota; Metazoa; Mollusca; Cephalopoda; Octopoda; Octopodidae
Source: RefSeq, a predicted model, not a curated record
UUUUUACUGUUGUGUUUGCAGAAAGCCAUUGCAGAAUCUUUACAGCAUCAAUUUCUUCUGGUAUGGUCCUUUAGGUAUCACCAUGGUCAUUAUAAUUGGCAUUGUAUUCAGUAAAAUUAUUGGUGGAUUCCAAGACCCUUCAGCCGUGCCACGUACGCUCUUAAGCCCUAUCACCUUAAAGAUCAUGGACAGAUAUGAACCUGAAGCAGAUGAAAAGUUCUAUUUACAAAACAUGGACAGCAAUGAAACUCAAAAACUUAAUGUCAGUCACGCAUAAAUACUUAUCGAUCCUUUCAACUAUGGUCUCAUACGCCUUGGAGAAGAGGGCUGAUGUUUUAUGAUAUGGCUGGAACAUGGGUUAGGCAUUAUUUUAACAUCUAAAUAUCAUAAAUAAGGGUUUGGAAUCUGAUCUAAAGCCUUUUGAGAGAACAUUAAUGACCACAAGUCAAUAACAGAGCCUGUACGUUAGGCACUAGCUUACCUUUUACAAGAAGCAGGCCGUAUGUGACAUGACUUAUUGUCUGGUGGACUACAGCACUAAAAGUUUGAGGUAAUUUUUUUUUAUUUUGUUAAGGCUUGGUAUCCAAAAAGACCUGUGUGCAGCUGCAAGUUGCCCACAACUGUUCUACAUGAUUGCUCCAUCUUCUAGAAAUACCAACUAAAUCUCUCUCCAAUCAGAGCCUUCUGCCAAAAGAGACUAAAAAAUAUAUAUAUUACAAAAAUGUAAGUCUUUUUUUCCUAAAUGAAUUGCACUUCAUAUUCGAGGCUCUGUGAAGCUAUAGGAUAUUUUUCAGACACUCAACUAAGAGUCCACUGCAUCUUAUAGCAGAAACCACAUGGUUCUGGGUUCAGUCCCACUGCAUGGCACCUUGUGUAAGUGUCUUCUACUGUAGCCUCAGGCUGACCAAAGCCUUGUGAGUGAAUUUGGUAGAUGGAAACUGAAAGAAGCCCAUCGUGUAUGUGUGUGUAUCUAUAUAUGUAUAGGUCCAGUGUAAUCUGUGGGUAGGAGAGGUGCAGCCGGAGAGUGUAGAGUUAGCUCGAAACGUUAAGGACUUUCUCUAUUCCCAAGCGUUAAACUAAUACAUCCUUUUGUUGUUUACACCACCUGUCCUGGUCUGUUGUUGUUUUUUUCGUAAAUUUUCCCAUAUAUAUGUAUACAUCUAUGUGUGUGUCUUUGUUUCUCCAGACCAUCAUUUUUUUUUUUUAUCAACCAUUGCUCACUAAAAACAUGAAAUAAGUAUAUGAGAUUACUGUGAUACAAAUUGUAUUCAUUUCAGUUUUAUUAAUGUUGAAAACAAAAAAAUUAAGAAAUGACAAUUAACUAUGAACUAUUACAUCGAUAAUUUUUUUUUUUUUUUGCAUUUUAUAUUUGUUUCUUAAAAAAAAUAUUUUAUAUAAAACUAUGACCCAUCAAGGGUCAGUAUUGCUCCCUAAGCAGCUGCAUAGUUGGCUAAAUGGAAAUACUAACUCUGUGUACCUUCCCGUGAAAACUUACCUGGUGAACCUGACUGUCCUUCUUGAUUUCUAUAUCUUGGCCUCCAAAUGUCCAACAAUUGCAGCUCAAUUAUACCUCUUCAUCUCUCUGCUACCAUUCCUCUAUUUUCACCCAAACCUCUCUCUAUAAACACUAACCUUAAAUACAAGCUGAACAUAACAAUAUCAAUAUCCUUUUAGUGGAGUCUGCAAGGAUUUUCAGCACUGAUAACCCCUUUUGUGACCACAAAAUAAAUAAUUUAGCCCUUUAGCAUUCUGAUUGCCUUGUCAACUGUAUUGCUUAUUUAUUCACAUUGUUCUGAAUUGAUUAUAUAAUAUCUCGUAGAUUCAAGACUUUGAUGAUGUGAUUGUCUAUUUUCUUAAUGACAUUGUAGAAUUGGUGAGAGAAACUGGAAUUGGUCGCUUACUUUUAAUUAUUAUUUUCUUUUUUUUUUUUUUAAUAAUAAAAAGUUUAAGGGGUUUAAUAAAAUAACUAACUUUUCUAUUUGUUGAUAAACAUAUAUCAAGUUGGUGUUUGGUAUAGAAAUUAACUAAAAGGUUUUUACAGAAAAUUAUAAUGGAUUUUUCCUUUAUUUUUUUUAUUAUUUUUUUAUUUAUUCAUUUGUUCAAAUAUGAAUACAUUAAAUGAGAUGGGUGUUAGACAUAAUCAGUCACUUGGUUUAACAAUGAUUACUUGGCCCUUCAGUAACUUUAGCAGAGUUCACUCUCUUGCAAAUAUUUAAAUCACAUCCAUGAUUCAAGGAUACCUUCUGCCCUUUCUUCUUGACUAAGCAAUAACAAAAAAAAAAAAAAUGGAAGAAAAGAGAUGAUUUUGUAUGAAAGAACCAAGACAAAAUGAUAUCAAAAAGGAUUAACUAAUACAUUUAUAGAUUUGUUUUGCAAGAUUCCCGAUAUGAUAUCAUGUGUUGAAACAGAUAUUGUUAUGGUAUGAUACAAACAAUAUAUUUCGCUGCUUUGUAAGGGUAAUUUACCUAGUAUUUCUGCUGUUUUAAUGGUAAUUAUGUGUUCAAAAAAUAUCUUCUUGUUUGUAUCGUACAAUACAUUUUUUGAUGCUUCUAAUAAAAGAUAAAUGUUAUUUUGUUUAUAUUUAUACUCACAGAUACUGUUAUAUUUCUUUCUUUUUAAAAAAAAUAAAUAAACACAUGCACUAUAAA